This 403-nucleotide ribosomal RNA is filed under the name uncultured bacterium. RNAcentral's name for it is "partial 16S ribosomal RNA". It matches the Rfam family "Bacterial small subunit ribosomal RNA", at positions 30 to 526 of the family's 1533-position model. The record is from RNAcentral.
AUUGAACGCUGGCGGCAGGCCUAACACAUGCAAGUCGAGCGAGCGGCGGACUGGUGCGUCAUGUAUGUGGCCUGCCCGAUAGAGGGGGAUUACUACUGGAAACGGUAGCUAAUACCGCAUACUAUCGGAUACCCCACUUUGGAUUAGCUAGUAGGUGAGGUAAUGGCUCCCCUAGGCGGCGAUCGCUGGCUGGUCUGAGAGGAUGAUCGGCCAGACGGGGACUGAGACACGGCCCAGACUCCUACGGAGGCAGCAGUGGGGAAUAUUGCACGAUGGGGGAGAGGCUGAUGCAGCCAUGCCGCGUGUAGGAAGAUGGCCCGAGGGUUGUAAAGUGCUUUCGGUCGGGAGGCGUUACCGAAAGAAGAAGCACCGGCUAACUCCGUGCCAGCAGCCGCGGUAAUAC